GAUGAACGCUGGCGGCGUGCUUAACACAUGCAAGUCGAACGGAAAGGCUCCUGCUUGCAGGGGUACUCGAGUGGCGAACGGGUGAGUAACACGUGGGUGAUCUGCCCUGCACUUCGGGAUAAGCCUGGGAAACUGGGUCUAAUACCGGAUAGGACCACAUUUUGGAUGGUGUGGUGGAAAGUUUUUCGGUGUGGGAUGAGCUUGCGGCCUAUCAGCUUGUUGGUGGGGUAAUGGCCUACCAAGGCGUCGACGGGUAGCCGGCCUGGGAGGGGGUACGGCCACAUUGGGACUGGGAUACGGCCCAGACUCCUACGGGAGGCAGCAGGGGGGAAUAUGGCACAAUGGGGGCAAGCCUGAUGCGGCGACGCCGCGUGGGGAAUGACGGCCUUCGGGUUUUAAACUCCUUUCGCUAGGGACGAGGCGCGAGUGACGGUACCUGGAGAAGAAGCACCGGCUAACUACGUG
This 465-nucleotide ribosomal RNA is filed under the name uncultured bacterium. Its description in RNAcentral is "partial 16S ribosomal RNA". It matches the Rfam family "Bacterial small subunit ribosomal RNA", at positions 28 to 507 of the family's 1533-position model. The record is from RNAcentral.